Molecule: ribosomal RNA, 274 nt
Filed under: uncultured bacterium
Lineage: Bacteria
Description: partial 16S ribosomal RNA
Rfam family: Bacterial small subunit ribosomal RNA
Source: RNAcentral
AUACGGAGGCUGCAAGCGUUGUUCGGAAUUACUGGGCGUAAAGCGCGCGUAGGCGGUCUGUUAUGUCAGAUGUGGAAGUCCUCGGCUCAACCGGGGAGGUGCAUUUGAAACUGGCAGACUUGAGUACUGGAGGGGGUGGUGGAAUUCCCGGUGUAGAGGUGAAAUUCGUAGAUAUCGGGAGGAAUACCGGUGGCGAAGGCGACCACCUGGCCAGAUACUGACGCUGAGGUGCGAAAGCGUGGGGAGCAAACAGGAUUAGAAACCCUAGUAGUCC